AUUGAACGCUGGCGGCAUGCUUUACACAUGCAAGUCGAACGGUAACAGGCCGCAAGGUGCUGACGAGUGGCGAACGGGUGAGUAAUGCAUCGGAACGUGCCCAGUCGUGGGGGAUAACUACUCGAAAGAGUAGCUAAUACCGCAUACGAUCUAUGGAUGAAAGCGGGGGACCGUAAGGCCUCGCGCGAUUGGAGCGGCCGAUGUCAGAUUAGGUAGUUGGUGGGGUAAAGGCUCACCAAGCCAACGAUCUGUAGCUGGUCUGAGAGGACGACCAGCCACACUGGGACUGAGACACGGCCCAGACUCCUACGGGAGGCAGCAGUGGGGAAUUUUGGACAAUGGGCGCAAGCCUGAUCCAGCAAUGCCGCGUGCAGGAAGAAGGCCUUCGGGUUGUAAACUGCUUUUGUACGGAACGUAACGGCUCUGGUUAAUACCCGGGGCUAAUGACGGUACCGUAAGAAUAAGCACCGGCUAACUACGUG
RNAcentral lists this ribosomal RNA (482 nucleotides) under uncultured bacterium. Its description in RNAcentral is "partial 16S ribosomal RNA". It matches the Rfam family "Bacterial small subunit ribosomal RNA", at positions 30 to 507 of the family's 1533-position model. The record is from RNAcentral.